GAUGAACGCUAGCGGCAGGCUUAACACAUGCAAGUCGAGGGGCAGCAUGGGACUGAGAUUCGUCGAAGUCUUGAUGGCGACCGGCGCAAGGGUGCGUAACGCGUGAGCAACCUUUCUCUCAGUGGGGAAUAACACAGGGAAACUUGUACUAAUACCGCAUGAGACCACAGCAUCGCAUGGUGCAGGGGUCAAAGAUUAAUCGCUGAGAGGUGGGCUCGCGUCUGAUUAGAUAGUUGGUGGGGUAACGGCCUACCAAGUCGACGAUCAGUAGCCGACCUGAGAGGGUGAUCGGCCACAUUGGGACUGAGACACGGCCCCAAAACUCCUACGGGAGGCAGCAGUGGGGAAUAUUGCACAAUGGGGGAACCCUGAUGCAGCGACGCCGCGUGAGUGAAGAAGUAUUUCGGUAUGUAAAGCUCUAUCAGCAGGAAGAAAUGACGGUACCUGACUAAGAAGCCCCGGCUAACUACGUGCCAG
This 477-nucleotide ribosomal RNA is filed under the name uncultured bacterium. RNAcentral describes it as "bacterial SSU rRNA". It matches the Rfam family "Bacterial small subunit ribosomal RNA", at positions 28 to 511 of the family's 1533-position model. The record is from RNAcentral.